This 457-nucleotide long non-coding RNA is filed under the name Daucus carota (carrot). Its description in RNAcentral is "long non-coding RNA (DCAR_LNC006048)". Lineage: Eukaryota; Viridiplantae; Streptophyta; Magnoliopsida; Apiales; Apiaceae. The record is from RNAcentral.
CACGGAACUACUAAAACAGAUCGAUUAAUCACUAAAUAAUAAACUCACAUUAUACCAGAAAACCUGGAUCCCCACCAGCCCCCACCCCCACUCCAUGGUUCAAAAUCACCAUCACCACGAGGACUCCGACCAUCACCAUGAGCCCCAUCACCACCAUUCUCGUCCUUUCAACUCUUCAAACACGAAUUUAUACAUUUUUAAUUAUAAUUUUUAAUGAAUCAAUUAAUGCCCCCCUAUUUGUAAUAAAUUGACGAGUUCGGUGGUAGUCGGAACCUAUGAUGGUGGCUGGGAAUCGGUGGUGGUGGCGUUGAUUGGAAGUUGAUGUGUAUAUACGUAUGAAUCUGGUAUUGGGUGUGUGUAAUAUUUAGUGAUUAAUCUGGUGUUUUUAGUGAUUCCGUGUCCUGUUGGGUCUGGUUUUUAGUUUGUAGGUGAGAAUUGGUUUGUAGUAGAGUAAGAC